CCGCGCUGGCGAUAAAACUGGACGCUUAUCGUUUUCGUGCGGCGAGCAUGAAAUUUGAUUCACGGAUGCAGAAGCCGCAAAAGUUGAAGGUGGAACACGGUGAAUUAUGAAGCGGCGCCGCAAGCGUCGGGGGUAUAAAUCCGUGGAGAGGCUGAGAGAUAAUACUACCCGCUAUCCACACAAUGACACAAUGUGAACAGGUGUUCCAAAACCCGGACCCGGAGAAACAUUCCUCGGACAGGUGUCUCACAGCAGAGACGCUGAUGAAAUGCCUUUCGAGUCGAAUGACAGAAUAAUUCGCGAGUACCUUGAUAUACGUAGCCGACCGGCAAAGAUGCCGGACAUUUCGAGAGCAGGAGCGACCCAGAAGCCGACGAAGGAAUGCCUAUAUGUCCAUGUUGACGAUUGAUGAAUUUAAUCUGAGAACUGUGAGAAUUCUUGCUAAGCAAUCAACACAUUAGCAAAGCAAUAUAAUGCAACAGCGCAAUAGUCCGCAUUGCAGUUAAACGCCAGACGAUCCCACCACGAAGGGUGCGCUCAGCGGUUUACGAAACUUCAUAUCCUGCCUCCUUAAUAGCACCCUAAAGAUAACGGGUAGAGAUGGCAAGAGAUGACGCGAUGCUGCGGCUGGAAGUGCAUCUUCCAUCGCGUGAGCGCAACGUGUAAGGAAUCGUGACUAAUGGUACCUGUCGAUGGAAGGAUGGAUCCUGCUACUUCGACGCUGAACAACAUCCCUCACAUCCUACCGUAACAGCCGUUUUGACGAUUCAGACCACACAGCCAAAGUAUUUUGGGAAACAUCUUAAAAACGAUAUAUAUCAUUUUGUAAGACACGUCGUAAAUGAACUCUUAAAAUGAGAAAUUAACCGUGACGAAGGACAAAUGUGAUAA
This is a long non-coding RNA of Linepithema humile (Argentine ant), 891 nucleotides long. RefSeq lists it as uncharacterized. Lineage: Eukaryota; Metazoa; Arthropoda; Insecta; Hymenoptera; Formicidae. The record is from RefSeq and is a predicted model, not a curated record.